Camellia sinensis is the source of this 415-nucleotide long non-coding RNA. RefSeq lists it as uncharacterized. NCBI's taxonomy places the organism in Eukaryota, Viridiplantae, Streptophyta, Magnoliopsida, Ericales, Theaceae. The record is from RefSeq and is a predicted model, not a curated record.
ACUUUGUACUACCAAAAAUAGGCAAUCUUCCAUUGAAACCUCGUGACUGCCACAUUCUCUUCAAGUGCCCCCAUUCCUUAUUGUGAAAUUCUUCUCAAGUAUCAAACCCCUUAUUUCUUCAUCUUCUAGUUGAAAACAAUCAACACUUUUUUUGAAUGAUCAUUUGAUUACUGUUAAGGAUUAAGCUUCGCAGGCUGGAUACUAGACUUUCCAAAUUCCUUGAAUUCACGGAAGGCCCAAGUCUUAACUAAUGGGCUUUAGCCAUGUGAAGGCCCAUCAAACCUUUCAAGACUCAUCAAUAUCCAAAGAAGAAAUAUGUAACCACUAUGUAUAUAGAUGAUGUUUCAAUAAAAAAUGUUGUUAUUUAUUAUUAUUAUUAUUUAAGAAUCAAUAAAAUUAAUUUACUCCCGGCUAA